This 494-nucleotide ribosomal RNA is filed under the name uncultured bacterium. Its description in RNAcentral is "bacterial SSU rRNA". It matches the Rfam family "Bacterial small subunit ribosomal RNA", at positions 29 to 518 of the family's 1533-position model. The record is from RNAcentral.
AUGAACGCUAGCGACAGGCCUAACACAUGCAAGUCGAGGGCAGCACAAGGAGCAAUCUGAGGUGGCGACCGGCGCACGGGUGAGUAACACGUAUGCAACCUGCCUGUAAGCGGGGAAUAACCCGUUGAAAGACGGACUAAUACCGCAUAAUACUAAAUUACUGCAUGGUAAUUUAUUUAAACAUUUAUGGCUUACAGAUGGGCAUGCGCAUGAUUAGCUAGUUGGAGAGGUAACGGCUCCCCAAGGCAACGAUCAUUAGGGGUUCUGAGAGGAAGGUCCCCCACACUGGUACUGAGACACGGACCAGACUCCUACGGGAGGCAGCAGUGAGGAAUAUUGGUCAAUGGACGAGAGUCUGAACCAGCCAAGUCGCGUGCAGGAAGAAUGUCCUAAUGGAUUGUAAACUGCUUUUGCAGGGGAAUAAAGUGCAUCACGUGUGAUGUUUUGUAUGUACUCUGCGAAUAAGGAUCGGCUAACUCCGUGCCAGCAGCGGC